AUGUUCAUAGCCGAUAUGAUUAGAAUUCUUAUGACAGUGAGGGUUCAAUUGAUGGAAAAGAAUCGCCAUCUCAGCCGCAUACCCCCAUUCCAUAACCUGGUAUCGAGGGAUUCUUCAUUCUCCUUAGAGGAGUCACCAAAAACUAGAAAAUUCUCCAAUUUCUGGAAGAAUCACCUAAAGCUCUUUCUUCUUUCUCUCUGCUUCAUCUUCUUUGCAACUCUGCAGAAUCUUCAUCACACUUCGUGA
This is a non-coding RNA of Vicia faba (fava bean), 246 nucleotides long. Lineage: Eukaryota; Viridiplantae; Streptophyta; Magnoliopsida; Fabales; Fabaceae. The record is from the annotation of a GenBank genome assembly.